Brassica napus (rape) is the source of this 124-nucleotide non-coding RNA. The record is from Rfam. NCBI's taxonomy places the organism in Eukaryota, Viridiplantae, Streptophyta, Magnoliopsida, Brassicales, Brassicaceae.
GGAAUAUAAGAACUCGUCUCUUAACUUUUAACUAAAAAAGCUAAGACCAGCUCUUAAAUAAGAUAUUUAAGACCUGGUUCUUAGAUUUUUUAGUUAAAAGUUAAGAGACGGAUUCUUAUAUUCC